This 495-nucleotide ribosomal RNA is filed under the name uncultured bacterium. RNAcentral's name for it is "partial 16S ribosomal RNA". It matches the Rfam family "Bacterial small subunit ribosomal RNA", at positions 28 to 507 of the family's 1533-position model. The record is from RNAcentral.
GACGAACGCUGGCGGCGUGCCUAAUACAUGCAAGUAGAACGCUGAAGGAGGAGCUUGCUUCUCUGGAUGAGUUGCGAACGGGUGAGUAACGCGUAGGUAACCUGCCUGGUAGCGGGGGAUAACUAUUGGAAACGAUAGCUAAUACCGCAUAAGAGUAGAUGUCGCAUGACAUUUGCUUAAAAGGUGCAAUUUCAUCACUACCAGAUGGACCUGCGUUGUAUUAGCUAGUUGGUGAGGUAACGGCUCAACAAGGCAACGAUACAUAGCCGACCUGAGAAGGUGAUCGGGCAAACUGGGAAUGGGACACGGCCCAGAAUCCUACGGGAGGCAGCAGUAGGGAAUCUUCGGCAAUGGACGGAAGUCUGAACGAGCAAAGCCGAGUGAGUGAAGAAGGGUGUCGGAUCGUAAAGCUCUGUUGUAAGAGAAGAAAGAGUGUGAGAGUGGAAAGUUCACACUGUGACGGUAUCUUACCAGAAAGGGACGGCUAACUACGUG